CCCUUAGACGUUCUGGGCCGCACGCGCGCUACACUGACCAGUGCAACAAGCAUCCGUCCUUGGCCGACAGGCCCGGGCAAUCUUUGAACGCUGGUCGUGAUGGGGAUAGACUUUUGCAAUUUUUGGUCUUCAACGAGGAAUUCCCAGUAAACGCAAGUCAUCAACUUGCAUUGAUUACGUCCCUGCCCUUUGUACACACCGCCCGUCGCACCUACCGAUUGAAUGGUCCGGUGAAGCCUCCGGAUUGGCGCGCACCUCGGUGCCGCCGAGAAGUUGGCUAAACCUUACCAUUUAGAGGAAGGUGAAGUCGUANCA
Molecule: ribosomal RNA, 315 nt
Filed under: uncultured eukaryote
Lineage: Eukaryota
Description: partial 18S ribosomal RNA
Rfam family: Eukaryotic small subunit ribosomal RNA
Source: RNAcentral